UUACCCUCACCCCCUUUUCGUCUCUCAGAAUCCCACCACCCACAACCCUAAUUCCCCGUCACCCUCCAUAUUAUGCCGUUGCCGAAAAUCGCCUUACGGCAGCGGCCGUUCUCUAAACACGCCCAAAUUUACACCAUCCAAUCCUCUUUUCCCCCUCUUUCCAACGCGCCAAAUGAUUUCCUUCAAAUCCGAGCCCAGCCUUUUGGAUAUCAAUAAUAGUGACGCCGCCACCACCGCACAUGGCGGCGACCGGUCUCCAAACCAGUCCAAAUUUACACCAAGGCUUCUACUCACCCUUAUCCUUCCGAAACCACAGUCCAUAAGCUUCAAAUCUCCCUCAAACUUUUCGAAUUUCAGAUCAAACAUUGACCCCAAAACCCUAAUUUUUCAAGAUGCUGGAGUUCGUUCGAUUUUGGACUAUAAUAGUCCUUAAUCUUGUGUUUCUCAUGGAAACACACGAAUAAGGACAGUUGCAGUCCAGAUUUUGCAAACUUGGCCGUAAUCCCUUUUAUUCGAUUUAUCAAGGUAUUUCAAUCAUUGAUCUGUUCUUAUUGUUAUUUUUUAGUAUUUGUUCAACAAAGUUAGUAGGGUUCUUAGUAAUUUUCUAUGUUUUCUCAUUUUUUAUUUUGUUAUUUUAUCUUUUUUAUUCUGGUUUAGCUAUUUGAUUGAUUUUUCAUGCUCUAGGGAUUUGACAGUUUCAGUCCGAAUUUUGCAAAAGCUUGGUCGAUAUCCCUUUCAUUUGAUUAAUCAAGGUAAUUCUCUCAUUUUUAUUUUUAUUUUAAUCUUGUUUUUAGUAUUUGUUUAGCCAAAUUAGUAGGUUUUCUUAGUAAUUUUCUAUUUUAUCUUUUUCUGAUUUUGAUUUAGUUAUUUUUUGAUUAAUCAUGUUUUAGUGAUUUUAGUAUUAGUUUAACCUUUAGUUUGAAUAUGUUUGGAUUCGGUGUUUACUUUUAUAGGUUUUAAUUUCUCCAGUUAGUAUUCAAUUUUAAUUUAGAUAGAAAUGUUGUAGGUUAAACUAGAACACCCUAGACUCUUCUAGAAUAGGGCCUUAGUUCUAAUUUAAGAAGCUUGGGGCAGUAACUUGAGAAACAAGUCAAAACAUUAAGGGAUAUUAAAUAAAAACAGAAAAUAAAAGGGGGAAAAUGGGUAAUUAAAUCUAGAAUUUUCUUCCCCCUUUUUUCUACCUAUAAAAGGCAGUAUACCUGCCUUCUUUUAUAAGUUUUGAACCCUGAAAAAAUUCCCAAAAGUUCCAGCUCUGAAAAAUCUCCCCAAAAAAAAACCUCCUAAUUCAAAUCUCUGAAGUUUGAAAAUUCACAAUCCAAAUGCAAGCAAUUGAAGUUCGAUCUCUAUCUUUCAGAAGUUCAGAAAAUAAUACCAAAAACUCGGAAAAAAAAAGGUCGUGCUAUUCUGCUGUAGUUCGUAGUCCAAUUUCAAAUUCUAGUUCCUACUUCAAAAUUCUAGUUUACAUAAGGGCAAAGUAGCUUAGAUAUUCUAGUUUUGAUCAAUAUUUGAGGUUUUAAAGACUGUUGGGUUAAUUACACGCUAAAUUUUGUUUUGUUCUAGUCAAUUUUGGUUGUAUACUGGUUUUUCAUGGCUGAAUUCCAAGCUGAAAUUACUGUUGUUGUGCUCUUUCACCUGUUGCUGACCUCCUUCUUCUCCUUUGUUUCAUUGCAAUCCCAGGUAUUCUUCAACUUCGAAUAUGUGAAGGACCAAAUCCACGGUUCUAUUCGAAUUGCUGAAUAAAUGACCAAUUCUCAUGUUGAUUUCAAGUUUAGCUUAUUUCCAUACUUGUUAGUUCACAUGUUGGAUUGUAUAGUAAUAGUAUUUGAUAUUAAUUGCAUAUAACAGGACUGUUUAACCGGAUUGUAUAAUUGGGAUGUGUAAUAGAUCUUAAUUAUAGACUAUGUUAGUUCGUAUGCUAGCAUAUGUAUAGCUUCUGAUGACUGUAUAAUCUAGACUAUUGUAGAUCGCAAAAAAAAUUAUAUUUCAAUAAAAUAGGAUCCUUGAAUUUGAUGUUAAGCAAUUCAGUUUCGUGUUCUAAAAGAUUACGCUAGUUUAGAUCUGAAGAGCAAAUCUAGAAUUAAAUUGAUAAUUGUACUAAAUUUGAAUGUUUCUUUCUGUUUGUUAUUCCAA
This 2130-nucleotide long non-coding RNA is filed under the name Nicotiana benthamiana. RNAcentral's name for it is "long non-coding RNA (NBEN_LNC037158)". The record is from RNAcentral. Lineage: Eukaryota; Viridiplantae; Streptophyta; Magnoliopsida; Solanales; Solanaceae.